UUUGAUCCUGGCUCAGGAUGAACGCUAGCGGGAGGCCUAACACAUGCAAGCCGAGCGGUAGAGAGUAGCUUGCUACUCUUGAGAGCGGCGCACGGGUGCGUAACACGUGUGCAACCUACCUUUAUCUGGGGGAUAGCCUUUCGAAAGGAAGAUUAAUACCCCAUAAUAUAUUGACUGGCAUCAGUUGAUAUUGAAAACUCCGGUGGAUAGAGAUGGGCACGCGCAAGAUUAGAUAGUUGGUGAGGUAACGGCUCACCAAGUCAAUGAUCUUUAGGGGUCCUGAGAGGGAGAUCCCCCACACUGGUACUGAGACACGGACCAGACUCCUACGGGAGGCAGCAGUGAGGAAUAUUGGACAAUGGGUGAGAGCCUGAUCCAGCCAUCCCGCGUGAAGGAUGACGGCCCUAUGGGUUGUAAACUUCUUUUGUACAGGGAUAAACCUACCCUCGUGAGGGUAGCUGAAGGUACUGUACGAAUAAGCACCGGCUAACUCCGUGCCAGCAGCCGCGGUAAUACGGAGGGUGCAAGCGUUAUCCGGAUUUAUUGGGUUUAAAGGGUGCGUAGGCGGACCUGUAAGUCAGUGGUGAAAUCUCUCAGCUUAACUGAGAAACUGCCAUUGAUACUGCAGGUCUAGAGUAUAGAUGACGUUGGCGGAAUAUGACAUGUAGUGGUGAAAUACUUAGAUAUGUCAUAGAACACCGAUUGCGAAGGCAGCUAACGAAACUAUAACUGACGCUGAGGCACGAAAGUGCGGGGAUCAAACAGGAUUAGAUACCCUGGUAGUCCGCACCGUAAACGAUGAUUACUCGUUGUUGGCGAUAUGACAGUCAGCGACCAAGCGAAAGCGAUAAGUAAUCGCACCUGGGGAGUACGCCGGCAACGGUGAAACUCAAAGGAAUGA
RNAcentral lists this ribosomal RNA (901 nucleotides) under uncultured bacterium. RNAcentral's name for it is "bacterial SSU rRNA". It matches the Rfam family "Bacterial small subunit ribosomal RNA", at positions 12 to 912 of the family's 1533-position model. The record is from RNAcentral.